Molecule: non-coding RNA, 74 nt
Organism: Campylobacter mucosalis
Lineage: Bacteria; Pseudomonadati; Campylobacterota; Epsilonproteobacteria; Campylobacterales; Campylobacteraceae
Source: Rfam
GCAGCGGUAGUUCAGUUGGUUAGAAUGCCGCCCUGUCACGGCGGAGGUCGCGGGUUCGAGCCCCGUCCGCUGCG